Molecule: long non-coding RNA, 2279 nt
Organism: Anas platyrhynchos (mallard)
Lineage: Eukaryota; Metazoa; Chordata; Aves; Anseriformes; Anatidae
Source: RefSeq, a predicted model, not a curated record
UUUAGCCAGAGUUUGUUACAGGGCAGUAAGUAUUUAUCACUCAUCCCUUUAAGCUCGCUUUCCCAAUAAUGCAAAUGCAGGGCUACCUACCAACUUUGUGUUGCCUGUUGCACAUUUCUAUGAAAAACUGUGCUCUUGAUGCACAUGUAAGAAUUACUUAAGCUUCUUUAAACAGGUGCAGGUUGGAACUUUACUGACUAAAGCACACAGAGCAGGGAAUAGAACCUUUUUCCCCUAGACACAUUUUGAUUGAAGGAAGCCCAAGAGGUAUAAUGCUGAGGAGCAAAGAAGACACUUUCUGUUACUGGAAUAUAUCCUAAAGCAAGUGGCUUUGCAACAAUUGGAGGGGGGGGUGGGGUGGAACAGUAAGGUGCAUGGAGGCCAUUAAUUUGCCAGGAGGGCACUGCGGAUAUAAGAAACAGCAGGGAAGAGUGGGGCAUCAGGGAAAAGUUAGAAAAGCAUUGAACAAACAUGAUGAGCUGGCAAGGUAUAGAAGGAAGUAGGGACAAAAGCCUAAUUGAAUGCUUUGAAGUUACAUUGAGUGUUAGAAAAAAGGCAACUGGUUCAGAAGCCUAAAAUGGCCUAAGUACUAAGAUGGAAAAGUCAGUAAUAGAAAAGGGGAAAAAAAAAUCCUUGAUGCAGCUUGAUGGGAUGAGGGAGAAAGAAGGAAACCAGCAGAACUGCAGGUUACAAAAACUGCAGAUAUGCUUGUGUUUCUCCAGGUAUAUCCUUUUCUUUCUUCUUCUUGAAAAAUCUAUCUAGACUUGGAGGGCUGUUACAGCAUAAGGAUUUGAUAUUUCUGGACUGUGCUCAACUUGGUAGAGGCACCAGGAGCUCCAAGGAUCCUCCUGAUCCUACAGAGAGCCCAGGUCAGUAGCACCACACAGGAAGCUGAUCGUGCCCAGCAAUGUCAUUUUUACCAUGCAUGACUUGUGUGGUUACUGUGUGCUCUGCAUGAUGGAUGUGACACUUCCAGAAAACCACAGCUGGAGGCAGGGUGCAGCAUACAGCAGCUCCACAGCGCGUGGGCUUCUUUAGAUAGGUCCUAGGAGGAGUCAGGGUGGGAAGCAGGGACAGCCUUGAUCAGAAGCUAAGCGCAAGAAGAGGCAGGUAUUAUCUCAUCUGUACUUUUAGGAGUUUGACAUUACUCCCAUUAUAAUAAGUGGGAUAAAACCUGAAAAGAGUCGCAAUGUGCAAGUGUCCCUGCGCCUGCACCGAGUCAAGGGAUAAAAGGAUUAGGAUUCUCUGGGGAAUGCCAGAGUUUUGUUUAUUAACUUGGAUGGCAGGGGAAGGCAACUGAGGGUAAGAGAAGUUAUGAUGGCAAAACACAGGAAGGGAAGACAACACAGCAUGCCACUUUUCAGUGGGAUGUUUAAUUGUAAGCUCCAGAGAAAUCAGGACUGUUUGUUCCAAGCCACGUGAAGAUGUAUCCGGAGGCUGCAUUAAAAAAAAAAAAAGAGGCGACUGUACGUUUGCAGGUCAUAAAGCUUCCUAAAGUUAUUUAAGAAACAUAACACUGAAAUUGCUUCUUCUGCCUUCAUGAAGAUUGGGUGCAAUGAUAGACUGAGGAAAGCCAUUGCCUCUGCUCAGAGACAACUUACACUUUCUAAGUGGCUCAUGAACAGCUGAAGUCAACCCUGGUCAUACCAAUGAGAGCACAGUCAAUAAAGAUAAUUGUGUUUGUUUAGCACAGAAGACUGGAAGUAUAAAUGAAGAGUACAAUGGAAGAGCUUGCUGGGAGCCUGGACAUCUUUUCCAAGGGCAGUCCUGACAUUUUAGCGUGAAAAAGUCAUUAUAAAUUGUAACCAAAGGCAAAAAAAUGAACUUUUACUCUAUUUAAAAUUUCUGGGAAACCUUGACUUCAUAAUUAAUGAUCUUCUCACUUGAGUCAUGUUUGAGCAUUUCAUUUUGAUGUGAAAAAAAAUUACUUUUCUUUUCUUUUUUUGGUUAGCUUCAUUACAGGUGUCAUACUAAAUGCAAUGUAAAUUCCCAUAAAACACUUAGUGUGAAUUUAUUCUGCCUAAAAUCUAUUGUGCCUAUUUUUGACCUGUUGCAAACAGGACCUCUUUAAGAACUCAUCACAUUCCUGAAGCCUGGUAUCUUGUCUGUAUAUAAUAGAGUUAAACUUAAGGCUUUCUGGGCAGUUUAUUUACUCAGAGGGUCAGACUAUUUCUCUGCAGGAGCACAUCCUGGGAGAGAGAGGACAGAUUAUUGCUAUGCCUUCUGUCCUUUUAGGCUUUCUUGAGUACUAAUUUGCAACUUCUUUAGUCCCUCUUGCU